Tribolium castaneum (red flour beetle) is the source of this 2694-nucleotide long non-coding RNA. RefSeq lists it as uncharacterized. The record is from RefSeq and is a predicted model, not a curated record. Lineage: Eukaryota; Metazoa; Arthropoda; Insecta; Coleoptera; Tenebrionidae. The transcript has 2 exons.
UUUGUGAAGGAUAGUAGCACUCGUUAAGGACGUGAUCAGUUAUUUCAAUCUUUGGCAAGCAAUUAUUUAUAGGUUGCCAAAAAAACGCCGCAUUGACACACUGAUUUUAUUCCACUUUGAACAUUAAUUUACAACCUUCAUAACUCAAAUGGUGCAUUGUUCCGAUUUAUUAGCGUCGGAAGGCCUUUCAAGUGCCAUAAAAUUAACAAAUUUUGUUUACCAAAUAAAUUUAAACUGCUUGUCGUUUAACAGCGCAUUAUUAAGCUUGUUUACGGCCAAUUAUUUGAUGUUUUGCAGAUUUUUGGCUUUUCUGUAGAUAGUUAUAGUCCUAUCACUGGCAAAAACUAGGCAAAAAGUAUCACUGGAUCUGCACUAGAAUAUUGCUAAAAAUAAUUAACGGUAGUCAAGUAGGUGCGUUAUUGCAAAUAUGAUUAAUCGCAGUUUUUAUCGCCACCGCGGUGAUAAACCAAUAAAGAAUUUUUCCAUAAUGACCAUCGAUAAGAUUUUUCCACCAUAGCUAAUUUCCAGAUACGAACUUUGUAUGUCACACGUGAAACAAUUAAUAAUAGUAAUGUUUGGAGAUAAUAAAAAUGGAUUUAAUGAAUCACGUCAUGUAAACGAAACGUGUAUGCCGAGUAAGUAAUUAUUAACGAAUUCAGCAAACAGUAAUAAUGGACAAUUACAACGGGAGUUUUCCUGGAACAAGGUCAGGACCAUGAUUGCCGAAGCCUUCAUUCAUGGAUUCAGAGCGCCGUUUUGCAAUUUUGUGAAACUGGAGUGGCCGUAAAUUUUGCAAAGGGGUCAAGAUCAAUAUUGAGGAACCCUCGGCAGGCGUCUCCACAAGCCCAUUUUUGCGUCGAUUGAGAAUUUUCACGAGUGUCUCAAUUUUUCCAAACUACCGGCCGGUGAAGUCACUCGUUUAGCUGAUGGGUUCUUUGGUUCCUUGUUGGUGGAGGAGUCUGCGCGUAAGGUGCACGGAAUAUUACCGACGAUCCUGAUCGAAUGCUCUAGACUUAUUCUAGAGCUAGAGGACCCCCAACCGGCUUGGAGACGCUCCUCUGGUCAUCGCCGGUGAAUUUUCGGCACAAAAAUCGAUGAAGUUGUCACAGUUGACGGUUGCCAUGGACGAUGAUAAGCUUUUCGCUGAAAGCACUGUCUGAGACAGCGUUCCCAGUCUAAAAAUAGGGGAAGGACGUUUUAUUGUUGACAUGCAAAUGACCUUUAAUAAACAAGCAGCCGAAUGUUUGGGAAAGAAUUGUGCCAGGGGUCACCAUAAGCCAAAGGUUGUGGCCUUGGCCUGGUCGCUGAUUCAUUGUUAUCACUAUUAUCACGUUUUUAAUUUACUUGGGUACAGGUUUCGCUCCGAGACUUGGUUGGAGCGCUGUAGAUGGCAGAAGCUUGCUUUCAUGUGGAAGCUCGCAUUAAUUUAUUCCUUUCAGAAUUUUUUAGGUGACCAAGGAAAGAACCGAUAUCUUCGACGAACUGACAGCUCACGAUUCAUUUUUGCUGCUAUUGGAAAUGUGUCAAGCCCGGAAAUUCUAUUUAUUACAAAUUUUAUUGAUUGUCGAGAACUAUAUUGCAAGCAAUUUAGAAUUUGGUCGGUCCACUAUUUUUUACCAAGGAGGAAAAAAAUUGUCAUGAUCCAAUAUCUUUCCCUCAACUAGUUAUAGCUUUUUUCAAGUGUCACAGACUAAAGUACUUUGUGAUAUGAAAUGUUCUCACUUUUCGUUAUUUUUGGAGUCAAGGGAAAAUAAACAACAUUUAUAGAAAAACAAAUUUAUUUGAUCGUGGAUUUGGCCGCUUCGGCAGGGCGAUAACAACUAUUCCUAGAGCCCUGUCGAAGCGAGCCGACGUCUUAUAUCUAGACAACAAAAAUUAGAUCACGGAUCUGUGUAAUAAAUACAAUUAAAAGCGAUAAACUUUUACAAUUUGUUAUAUAACCGUCGAAUAAAUUCUGAUAAACAGUCGCCUAUAGGAUUUGUAAUGCUAUUGAAACGUUUUGUCUUCUCACAUAUGUUACAAAUCGACCUUAUUGUCAGUCAUUCCAAACAAAGCCAUGAGACUAAAAACACAGCUACACCGAUAAUGCAACAUUCAUUAACAUUGGCACGUUAGUCAACAAUAAUUAGCAUACACUUAUUAUUUACACUGAAUAGUUUGGUCUACGUAAACAAUCAAAACCGACUAAAUCACAUGUACAAAAUGGCACUUUUUAAAAAUAAACAUUCGUAGUCAAAAUGAGGUCAUUCGGCCAUGACCUCACUUUGUAAUUUGAUCGAUCACAAAUGAAUGAGGUGAGAUGAUGAGUGAUAUGACAAGAUUAAGAGGAAUUGUGGAAAGGAACGUUUUAUUAGACUUAUUAUCCUGGUCUCGCCCUAUGGUAGCCAUACGUAUAGUAAAUGAAGUAUAUUUCCGGUUUACAGUCACCAAAAGAAUUUCAGUGAUAUAAUUGCGGCGCCGAGAACAUGUGGUAAAGUCGAGUGGACAGCAGCGCCUCGCGAAGUCGUGUAAGUGCUGGAGGAGACGUAAACACUCAAACCUGCAGCGUUCCUGGUCGCCGCUUGAACUUCGUAUUCGGUGUUUGGCUCCAAACCUUCCAAGGAAUACAAAUUGUCUGCGCAAAAAACUGUUUAUUUUGAUACAAUAUCGAUCAUUUUUUAUACCUUGUGUGAUAUUAAAGUCCUUUUGUUUCCA